RNAcentral lists this ribosomal RNA (397 nucleotides) under Pseudochattonella sp. RNAcentral describes it as "partial small subunit ribosomal RNA". It matches the Rfam family "Eukaryotic small subunit ribosomal RNA", at positions 582 to 975 of the family's 1831-position model. Lineage: Eukaryota; Dictyochophyceae; Florenciellales. The record is from RNAcentral.
AUUCCAGCUCCAAUAGCGUAUAUUAAAGUUGUUGCAGUUAAAAAGCUCGUAGUUGGAUUUCUGGCGUCGCCGCCCGGUCGGCCUCGAAAGGGGUUCGCACUCGUUGGCGCGCGUCGCCAUCCUCGGGGGAAGGCCGCCUGGCAUUAAGUUGUCGGGCGGUCGACGCUCGUCGUUUACUGUGAACAAAUUAGAGUGUUCAAAGCAGGCUUAGGCCGUUGAAUACAUUAGCAUGGAAUAAUGAGAUAGGACUUUGGUGGUCUAUUUUGUUGGUUUGCACGCCGAAGUAAUGAUUAAUAGGGGCGGUUGGGGGUAUUCGUAUUCAAUUGUCAGAGGUGAAAUUCUUGGAUUUAUGGAAGACGAACUACUGCGAAAGCAUUUACCAAGGAUGUUUUCAUUG